This 301-nucleotide ribosomal RNA is filed under the name uncultured bacterium. RNAcentral's name for it is "partial 16S ribosomal RNA". It matches the Rfam family "Bacterial small subunit ribosomal RNA", at positions 509 to 807 of the family's 1533-position model. The record is from RNAcentral.
CAGUCGCCGCGGGAAUACGGAGGAUCCAAGCGUUAUCCGGAAUCAUUGGGUUUAAAGGGUCCGUAGGCGGUCUUGUAAGUCAGUGGUGAAAGCCCAUCGCUCAACGGUGGAACGGCCAUUGAUACUGCAGGACUUGAAUUAUUGGGAAGUAACUAGAAUAUGUAGUGUAGCGGUGAAAUGCUUAGAGAUUACAUGGAAUACCAAUUGCGAAGGCAGGUUACUACCAAUUGAUUGACGCUGAUGGACGAAAGCGUGGGUAGCGAACAGGAUUAGAGACCCCCGUAGUCCCUGUCUCUUAUAC